This 76-nucleotide transfer RNA is filed under the name Verrucomicrobiia bacterium. RNAcentral describes it as "tRNA-OTHER". Lineage: Bacteria; Pseudomonadati; Verrucomicrobiota; Verrucomicrobiia. The record is from RNAcentral.
GGGGGCGCAUGUUCCACAGGGGCGAUGCUGCCUUGCAAGCAGCGUGCGGCGGGUGCAAGCCCCGUCGCCUCCACCA